GACGAACGCUGGCGGCGUGCUUAACACAUGCAAGUCGAACGGAAAGGCCUGCUUUCCCUUGUGGAUUGCGGGUACUCGAGUGGCGAACGGGUGAGUAACACGUGAGUGAUCUGCCCCCAACUUGGGUAUAAGCCUGGGAAACUGGGUCUAAUUCCCGAUAGGACUGCAGGGUGGUGCCUGUGGUGGAAAACGAUUUUCUAGUGGUUGGGGAUGAGCUCGCGGCCUAUCAGCUUGUUGGUGGGGUAAUGGCCUACCAAGGCGGCGACGGGUAGCCGGCCUGAGAGGGUGGACGGCCACAUUGGGACUGAGAUACGGCCCAGACGCCUACGGGAGGCAGCAGUGGGGAAGAUUGCACAAUGGGCGGGAGCCUGAUGCAGCGACGCCGCGUGGGGGAUGACGGCCUUCGGGUUGUAAACUCCUUUCGAUCGCGAGGAAGCCACCUGGUUGGAAGGGUGGUGACGGUAGUGGUAGAAGAAGCACCGGCUAACUACGUG
Molecule: ribosomal RNA, 494 nt
Filed under: uncultured bacterium
Lineage: Bacteria
Description: partial 16S ribosomal RNA
Rfam family: Bacterial small subunit ribosomal RNA
Source: RNAcentral